This 303-nucleotide ribosomal RNA is filed under the name Triticum aestivum (bread wheat). Its description in RNAcentral is "partial small subunit ribosomal RNA". The record is from RNAcentral. Lineage: Eukaryota; Viridiplantae; Streptophyta; Magnoliopsida; Poales; Poaceae.
AUGCAUGUAUCGCAUUCAUAUGCAGGUGAUACUGAUAGUACAUAUAGUAAUCGAUGGAGCUUAAUUAGGGCAGCGGAAGUCUUUCGGCACUCUCUUGCCGCACUGGUUGACGAGCACCUCGAUGGCGAUGGGCAGCAAGAGGUUGAUGUUGAGGGCCUUGACCUUAAUGGUGGUGCAAAUGCAGAGAGCAGCGUCGAGAUCGGCAACGCCGGACAGCAGCGGGCAGCAUGUAUUGCUGGCACUACUGCCGAUCACCGUGUGCAACAGCCCAUUGAGCACGUCCACGCACGCACGCAGCUUUAG